Molecule: long non-coding RNA, 333 nt
Filed under: Mus musculus (house mouse)
Lineage: Eukaryota; Metazoa; Chordata; Mammalia; Rodentia; Muridae
Description: RIKEN cDNA D330050G23 gene
Source: RNAcentral
AGUCUGUACUGAUCCUGGGACUACAGCGUACCCGCACUAGAAGACCGCAUGUGUGAAAUCCUGAACCAGCGUCCAAAGCCUGUGGGAGAUGAGGUGGCUCGCAGAACCUUCCAGAAAUGCCAUAAUUAUGAUGUAAGCAUAUAUGUGUGUAUGAAUAUGUGCAUAUACAUAUACAUAUGACAUGUACAUAGAAGAGGAACUAUAAAAAGAAGAUCUUCAGAGAAGAUGGGGUACAAGAAAAAGCAACAGGAGACGAAAGACAAAAUACCACAUAGCUCAUAUUCCUCCCGUAUGCAAAAUUUAGAUUUAAAUAAAUAUGAAUUUAACGUGGAA